Molecule: long non-coding RNA, 4031 nt
Organism: Homo sapiens (human)
Lineage: Eukaryota; Metazoa; Chordata; Mammalia; Primates; Hominidae
Exons: 3
Source: RefSeq, a predicted model, not a curated record
UGAGCUUCCCCUUCCUUCCCCUUGUCCAGGCUCAGCAGGGGCUCUGGGCUGAUCCUACUCUUCCCACUGGAGGGAGCCGUGGGUGCUGGGGGCUCUGGGGGCCUCCUGGCCUCUGGGUGGUCGUGGGCUGCUGGCUUAGGGUGAGGGCACCAGGAUCCGGGCUCAGGGACGUCUGUGCCCGCCGUUCCCACUUCCCUUCGACCUCCCCCACCUGAUUUCUUCUCUGCCCUCCCCUCCCUGCCGCUAAGGAGUCUUUGGCCUCUGCUGAUCUUCUUUAAACUCCCUGCUGCAGCGGUUCACGGAAACUUCCCAAUUACCACAUGAUGACACUGGCAAUGGCUUCUCACGUUCUCUGUGGCCAGACUGUGCUCAACACUCCAACCAUUAUCUCGUUUACCUCAGAAACGUCCCUAAGCUGCGGGCAGGGGCAGUGUCGUGGUGACCGUUCCUCCCUUUUCCAGGCGACUAACCUGGGGUUCCAGAGGUCGGCCCUUCUUUGUCCUGGUGGACGGCCUAAGGCCGAGGUGUCCGACCCGGGACCGAGUGUCCCUGUCACAGGAGACUGGCUGACACCUGCAUGCAGUUUAUUCCAGCCAAGACAGCCACGCCAAAGGACCACGCCGACGGGAGGAGAGAAAGGCAUCAUCACAUUUUAUGAAUGACAGAUGGCUUUUACCACACCUUUGCAUGAUCGCUUAUGGUAAUAGGACUGCGGUGCCCUGAGACGUGGGGAUCUGCGUGAGUGCCCCCGGCAAAGUCUGCUCUUCCGGCCUCGAAUCUGGAUCCCAGGAGCCCGUCCAUAUCCCUCAUCCAGCAAACUCCAUGGCCAUGCAGGGCUCCUCAGGACACUGCAGUUGUGCCCUGUUUAAAACAAUAACUGUUUCUCAAGUUUCUUGGAGUGAAGCCACCAUGACCUUUGCAACAGACGAAGCCUACACUUUUUCCAAGUGUGACUCAAAGGACAAAAGGUUCAUGCACAAGGCAGUUCUAAAAGUGGAUGGGUAAUUGCUGGUUCUGCUUCCUGUAAGGAUUUUGUAAGAUCACACCAAACCCACUCCCUUACAGAAAACAGCUUCAAAAUCUGUACACAAUGCAAACAGGCUGCUUGUGGGCGUUGGAGAGUGAACAGCAAGACGGACCUGGGGUGUACACGGGGGAUAAAGGAGUUGCAGGAAGCACGUUCUCUUUGACCGUGGCUGUUAGCCUGAGCACUAUGUAGUUAGGGCAUGAGGAGCUGGGGGUCCUCAGGGAAGACCACAGUCUUCAUGGCCUGGAACAGGAGCAGGACGAAAUUGGGGAAGCUGUGGCCAGUGGAGGGGGGGAGCGUCCAGAAGGGGAAACUUGGCGGACUCUACUCAUGUUUCCGACUGGCCCUGAACUGCACACACUCAAAGCAGAUAAAAGAAGCCCAGCUAAAGGCUGGUACAAAAUGACCUUCUUUAUAAUGCUGGUUGUGUUCAUUGUUCAAUAUUAAUAUAGCUGUUCCCGCUUUUUUUUUUUUUGACUAGUGUUAGUACAGUGUAUCUUUUAAAAUCCCAUUAGUUUUCAUGUAUUUGUGAAUUUAUAUUUAAAGUGGGUUUUGGGUAGGCAGCAAUUAGUUGGGUCUUGCUUUGUUAUUAAGUCUGACAAACUGCCACUGAAUUAGACCAAUGGUUAUAGAUCAUUUUCAUCUACCAUCACUGUUGAUAAUGGUUGGACUUAAACCACCAUCUUGCUAUUUGCAUUUUAUUUAUCCUGUCUACUUUUUGUUUCCUGUUCCUCUUAGCCAGCCUUCUUCUGGACUGGGUAUUUUUUAAUCAUCCCAUUUAAUCACUUCUGUUGGCUUAUUCCCCAUAACUCUGUCUGUACAUAUGUAUGUGUGCGUGUGUGUGUAUACAUUUUAGGGUUUAUAGUGUGCACCUUCAACUUAUCAUAAUCUAUCUUCAAAUAAUAUUACACUACAUCAUGAUGGUUUAAUAACCUUACAGCAGCACACUUCCAUUCCCUGCCCUCCUUCAUGUCCUUGUGGGCACAUAUUUUAUUUCUCUACAUGUUCUAUACCCAGCAAAACAUGCUUUUCCUUCCUGUGCUUCUAUCGGGUCUCCUAUAAUGUCAUUUUCCUCUUGUCCAAAGGACUUUCUUUAAUAUCUCUUAGUGCUUAUCUGCUGGUAUGAUUAAUAUUUUAGCUUUUAUAUGUCUGAAAAACUUGAUAUCUCACCCUGUUUCUACCUUUGUUGCCAGGUACAGAAUCACAAAUCAACAGGCUUUUCCCGGCAGUACUUUGCAGAGCUUGUUCCACUGUCCUCUAGCUCGCCUCAUUUUCAAGGAGAAACCUGUCGUCAUCCUUGUCUUUGUUCCUCUGUACCCAGCACGUCUCUUUUCUUCUGCCUGCUGUUAAGAUUGUCUCGUUCUUACCCAGUUUAAGCAGUUUGGUUAAGAUGUGCCUUCUUCGUACUUCAUACUUUUUGGACUGGGAUAUGUAGCUUUUAAAAAGCAAAUUUCAAAAGAUUUCAGUCAUUAUGUCCUCCUUUUUUUUCUGUUUUUUUUUCUUUGUUUUCUUUCUGGGACUCUAAAUGUAUGAAUUUUAGGCCAAUUGAAGUUGCCCCCCAAUUAGCUUUCUGCUCCUUUUGAAGGGGUCUAUUUUCUGUCUGUGUUUCACUUUGGAUGGUUUCUAUUAUAUACCUUUAAGUUCAUUAAUCUUUCCUUUUGUAGUGUCUGUCUAAUCUCAUCAUCUCAUCCAGUGAAUUUUCUUUAUCUCAGAAAUGGUUUCAUCUCUAAAAGUUAGAAUUGGGACUUUUUAAUGUUUUUCAUAUCUCUGCUUAACGUUAUCAUGUGGAAUAGAGUGAUAAUAACUACAGUUCAUCUGUGUCUAGGAAUGCCCUCAUCUGUGCCAUUUGUGAAUUAGUUUCAAUUUGUUGAUAUUCCUCAUUACAUGAUGUGUUUUCCUGCCUCUUUGCAUACUUGGUGAUUUUUUACUGUAUGCUAGACAUCAUGUACUUUUCCUUGUUAGAUCCUGGAUAGUUUUGCACUCCUAAAAUUAUUUUAAAACUUUUCAGGGAUGAAGUUACUUUACUUGGAAACAAUUUGAUAUAUUUGAGGCUUGAUUUUAAGCUUUUUUGGGUGGGGCCUAAAUUAGUCUAGGACUGAUUAUGCUCUACUACUGAGGUGAUACCAUGCUGAAAAAGCUUAAUAAGGAGAAAGAUCAAUCAAUAAAUAUUCACGUAUAUUCACAAAAUAUAAUGAGGAGAAAAAUCAAUCAGUAAAUAUUCACGUAACCCUAAAAAAAGUUAAGAAAUGAGAAACAAAGGGGGGAACUGGAGGGUAUGUAUAGAGAGCGAGGCAUAAAAUUACAGACCCAGACAUAACCAUGUCAAUACUUAUUUAAAUAUGAGUGGACCAAAGAUUUCAGGUAAAACGCAGAGGUUGUCAGAAUAGAUAUGAAAACAAGACCCACACACAUGCUGUCUUCCAAAAUUGCACUUGAAGAACAGAGACACAGGUAGCUUUAAAUGACAUUAAAGUUAAAGCAUAAACACUGGAAAGGGAGAAGAAGAACUGCCUCUUUAUGCAGAUAUCAUGAAUCAUGUAUGAGGAAGUAUCUUAAGAAACUUACAAACAACUAGCAUAGGCACUGAGAAAGCGUGGUCUACUCAUCAACCACAAACAGGAAUGAAGCCCUAACAUGCCACAAUAUGGAUGAACCUUGAAACUGAAAACAUGAUGAGUGAAAGAAGACGGACACAAAGGGCCGCAUGUUAUAUGAUUCCAGUUAUACGAAAUGGGCAGAUCUAAAGAGGCAGAACGCAGGUUAGUGGUGACAGGAGCUGGGGGAAGGGAGGAACAGAGAGUGACACCUCGAUUGAUGUGGUGUCUCCUUUCUUGGUGAUGCGAAUGUCCUGGGGCCGACAACGUGGUGAACGCACUGGAUGCCACUGAAUUGUGCACUUCAAAAUUGUGAAAAUAGUGAAUUUUAUAAUAUGUGAAUUUUACCACCAUAAAAACCAAACUAUUAGUACAAAUAAAAUUAGUUUAGCCAAGUUGCAGCAUUUAAC